RNAcentral lists this unclassified non-coding RNA (399 nucleotides) under soil metagenome. RNAcentral describes it as "partial contains 5.8S ribosomal RNA, internal transcribed spacer 2, and large subunit ribosomal RNA". The stretch from base 3 to 121 matches the Rfam family "5.8S ribosomal RNA", at positions 38 to 154 of the family's 154-position model. The record is from RNAcentral.
GAGAAGAACGCAGCGAAAUGCGAUACUUGGUGUGAAUUGCAGAAUCCCGUGAACCAUCGAGUCUUUGAACGCAAGUUGCGCCUCAAGCCAUUAGGUUGAGGGCACGUCUGCCUGGGCGUCACAUAUCGUUGCCUGAUGCCAGUUUCCUCGUGAUGGGUGACUGUGCAGGGCGAAUGAUGGCUUCCCGUGAGCAUUGUUGCCUCAUGGUUGGUUGAAAAUUGAGUCCUUGGUAGGGAGCGCCGUGAUAGAUGGUGGUUGAGUGACGAACGAGACCCAAUCAUGUGAGACCCCUACCGAAUUUGGCCUUCAUGACCCACAUGCGUCUUUGGAACGCUCAUGACGAGACCUCAGGUCAGGCGGGGCUACCCGCUGAGUUUAAGCAUAUCAAUAAGCGGAGGA